Molecule: ribosomal RNA, 253 nt
Filed under: uncultured prokaryote
Description: partial 16S ribosomal RNA
Rfam family: Bacterial small subunit ribosomal RNA
Source: RNAcentral
ACAGAGGCCUCGAGCGUUAAUCGGAGUCACUGGGCUUAAAGGGUGCGUAGGCGGCCUCGCAAGUGCUUUGUGAAAUCCCACGGCUCAACCGUGGAAUCGCUCGGCAGACUGCGGGGCUUGAGGUCGGUAGGGGUCGCCGGAACUCUAGGUGGAGCGGUGAAAUGCGUAGAUAUCUAGAGGAACGCCAAAGGUGAAGACAGGCGACUGGGCCGAUUCUGACGCUGAGGCACGAAAGCGUGGGGAGCGAACGGGA